RNAcentral lists this ribosomal RNA (522 nucleotides) under Vibrio campbellii. RNAcentral describes it as "bacterial SSU rRNA". It matches the Rfam family "Bacterial small subunit ribosomal RNA", at positions 15 to 516 of the family's 1533-position model. Lineage: Bacteria; Pseudomonadati; Pseudomonadota; Gammaproteobacteria; Vibrionales; Vibrionaceae. The record is from RNAcentral.
GAUCCUGGCUCAGAUUGAACGCUGGCGGCAGGCCUAACACAUGCAAGUCGAGCGGAAACGAGUUAUCUGAACCUUCGGGGAACGAUAACGGCGUCGAGCGGCGGACGGGUGAGUAAUGCCUAGGAAAUUGCCCUGAUGUGGGGGAUAACCAUUGGAAACGAUGGCUAAUACCGCAUAAUGCCUACGGGCCAAAGAGGGGGACCUUCGGGCCUCUCGCGUCAGGAUAUGCCUAGGUGGGAUUAGCUAGUUGGUGAGGUAAGGGCUCACCAAGGCGACGAUCCCUAGCUGGUCUGAGAGGAUGAUCAGCCACACUGGAACUGAGACACGGUCCAGACUCCUACGGGAGGCAGCAGUGGGGAAUAUUGCACAAUGGGCGCAAGCCUGAUGCAGCCAUGCCGCGUGUGUGAAGAAGGCCUUCGGGUUGUAAAGCACUUUCAGUCGUGAGGAAGGUAGUGUAGUUAAUAGCUGCAUUAUUUGACGUUAGCGACAGAAGAAGCACCGGCUAACUCCGUGCCAGCAGCC